This is a long non-coding RNA of Solanum lycopersicum (tomato), 639 nucleotides long. RefSeq lists it as uncharacterized. NCBI's taxonomy places the organism in Eukaryota, Viridiplantae, Streptophyta, Magnoliopsida, Solanales, Solanaceae. The record is from RefSeq and is a predicted model, not a curated record.
AACAAUAAUAAUAUAUUCUAUGUAAUUUUAUAAGUAAUUGCUAAAAACAUAGGAUUUACACAAAACUUAUUCUUAUUAAAUAAAUAUUAAAAAUUUAUUUUCGAUAGAUCGUUAAUUUUCGUUGCUUAUAAAAGGUUUCUCAUAGUUGACAGUAGUGCAGAACACAAGGUAGCUGUAAAGGUUUGACACCAAAUUAAGAAAUUAUGGAGGAAGGCAACAGCUCAUUCAAAUAUUCAGAUAAGAAAAAGAAGUCAGAUCUUGCAAAACUUCAAAAGGAACAUGAUGAGAAAAUGGCAGCAAUAAAAGAGCUCAAGAAAAAGAGAGAAGAAAUGAAGCUUCAAUUGUCAAAGAAUAACAUUUCUGAGGAAAAGAAAGAGACUUUCAGAAAAUUGACUGAAAAAUAUCAAAAAAUGAAUGAUGAAUAUAAUUCCCUUUUAGGUUAGAUAUUAAAGGGAAAAGAGUAGUAUCUUACUAAUAAAAAUUAUUUUCUAUCGUUCCAUAAUGUAUCGUUUUAUAUUAUACUAGUUAUUAUGUUAUAUACUGUAUCAUGCAUGUUCAUGAAUCAACAACAAUAUACCUUGUGGUGUUGUAAGAAUAACAAUAAUAUAUCAAUGAAAUUCUACCGUUAGGAUUUGAAGA